RNAcentral lists this ribosomal RNA (412 nucleotides) under uncultured bacterium. RNAcentral's name for it is "partial 16S ribosomal RNA". It matches the Rfam family "Bacterial small subunit ribosomal RNA", at positions 355 to 759 of the family's 1533-position model. The record is from RNAcentral.
UGGGGAAUAUUGCACAAUGGGCGCAAGCCUGAUGCAGCCAUGCCGCGUGUGUGAAGAAGGCCUUCGGGUUGUAAAGCACUUUCAGCGAGGAGGAAGGGUUCAGUGUUAAUAGCACUGUUCAUUGACGUUACUCGCAGAAGAAGCACCGGCUAACUCCGUGCCAGCAGCCGCGGUAAUACGGAGGGUGCAAGCGUUAAUCGGAAUUACUGGGCGUAAAGCGCACGCAGGCGGUUUGUUAAGUCAGAUGUGAAAUCCCCGCGCUUAACGUGGGAACUGCAUUUGAAACUGGCAAGCUAGAGUCUUGUAGAGGGGGGUAGAAUUCCAGGUGUAGCGGUGAAAUGCGUAGAGAUCUGGAGGAAUACCGGUGGCGAAGGCGGCCCCCUGGACAAAGACUGACGCUCAGGUGCGAAAG